This 465-nucleotide ribosomal RNA is filed under the name Vreelandella stevensii. Its description in RNAcentral is "partial 16S ribosomal RNA". It matches the Rfam family "Bacterial small subunit ribosomal RNA", at positions 338 to 795 of the family's 1533-position model. The record is from RNAcentral. Lineage: Bacteria; Pseudomonadati; Pseudomonadota; Gammaproteobacteria; Oceanospirillales; Halomonadaceae.
CCUACGGGAGGCAGCAGUGGGGAAUAUUGGACAAUGGGGGCAACCCUGAUCCAGCCAUGCCGCGUGUGUGAAGAAGGCCCUCGGGUUGUAAAGCACUUUCAGUGAGGAAGAACGCCUGGUGGUUAAUACCCAUCAGGAAAGACAUCACUCACAGAAGAAGCACCGGCUAACUCCGUGCCAGCAGCCGCGGUAAUACGGAGGGUGCGAGCGUUAAUCGGAAUUACUGGGCGUAAAGCGCGCGUAGGUGGCUUGAUAAGCCGGUUGUGAAAGCCCCGGGCUCAACCUGGGAACGGCAUCCGGAACUGUCAAGCUAGAGUGCAGGAGAGGAAGGUAGAAUUCCCGGUGUAGCGGUGAAAUGCGUAGAGAUCGGGAGGAAUACCAGUGGCGAAGGCGGCCUUCUGGACUGACACUGACACUGAGGUGCGAAAGCGUGGGUAGCAAACAGGAUUAGAUACCCUUGUAGUA